UACGUAGGGCGCAAGCGUUGUCCGGAAUUAUUGGGCGUAAAGAGCUCGUAGGCGGCCUGUUACGUCUGCUGUGAAAUCCCGGGGCUUAACCCCGGGCGUGCAGUGGAUACGGGCAGGCUGGAGGCAGGCAGGGGAGAACGGAAUUCCCGGUGUAGCGGUGAAAUGCGCAGAUAUCGGGAGGAACACCGGUGGCGAAGGCGGUUCUCUGGGCCUUACCUGACACUGAGGAGCGAAAGCGUGGGGAGCGAACAGG
RNAcentral lists this ribosomal RNA (253 nucleotides) under uncultured bacterium. Its description in RNAcentral is "partial 16S ribosomal RNA". It matches the Rfam family "Bacterial small subunit ribosomal RNA", at positions 524 to 776 of the family's 1533-position model. The record is from RNAcentral.